Molecule: small RNA, 1290 nt
Filed under: Arabidopsis thaliana (thale cress)
Lineage: Eukaryota; Viridiplantae; Streptophyta; Magnoliopsida; Brassicales; Brassicaceae
Description: ATSL261430
Source: RNAcentral
CAAAAGAAAAAGUUUGAAAAAAUAUCUAAUUCAUUUAUUUCUCUUUUUUGCUCUCGUCUCAGGUUUGGAAGACGACUCUCGUGAAUACUUCAGGAGAUCAAUUUGAAGAAAUAUCUUUUUGUUAUCUCUGGAGAUUAUGUCUUGUGUUGUGUACAAUUCUUUAUAACUAAUAUGUUUUUAAAUUUGCUACUUUAAAAACUGGUAAUUCGUAGUAUUCUUAUGUAAUCAGAUUACCUUUAAAGUUAACAUGUGAUGUUAACUAAUAUGUUUUUAAAUUUGCUACUUUAUGUUGCCUGUGCAUUCUCAAAGGAAUAUUUGGCCGUACAUACUAAGCUUCUUCUUCUUCUGUACAGCCUCUGAAGAAAGGUGGCUGGAAAAAGGUUCAAAUAAGAGCUGUCAGCCUUUCUUAUGGGCAAUCAAUUUUCAGAGUAGAGGAAAGUGAAGUACGAUGAACGGUAUUGACAUUAUUCCAAAAGAAAGCAAAGCAUACCACAUAUUCGUUGUAAAGAAUCUUCAUCACAAUUCUGUCUGGCAAUUCUGCGCUGGACAAAAGCAAAUAAGUAACAAACUCUGUAAUCUGGCAAUUCUGUUUAGUGUCUUUAUCAACAAAGCUAGGAUACUAACCAUUUUGCAAGCUGAACUCGUGCUGUCACUACAAUCAUAAAAUAUUUAUCAAUUAAUCACUACUGAUGUAUAUAUAAAAUUCGUUUAUUGAUCCUAUAGGGUUGUUGAAUUGAUGGAGAUUAUAUGAGCUAGACAGGCAAGAGAUGAUGAGAUUGAUUCAUGAAAAACAAUAUGCGCAUGAGGGGAGAAGAAUAUAUGUUAAAAAGAUAUUAGAUAAUAUUGGGAGUUCGAGACUAGAACUUUCUAUGAUAAAUGCACAAUAAGAUAUUAAGAUCAAUAGCCAAAGAGACUACAUCUGGUAUUAGUGGCUCCAUUACCGCUCAUGGAAGGGACUCGCUUGAUGAGAAGUCAUGAAUUUUCUUUCUUAAAUUGUAAGAUUGAUGGAACCAGGAAGGUGUGGCUUGGGAAAACCCUUGAGAGCCUAUGCAGUUGUGUUUUUCUCUCAAAUUUACAUGUUUCGAGUCAUCUCUCCCGACGGAUGGAAUGACUGGGGAAAUCUAACCGAGACAAGUAAAUAUAGUAACUUUCAUUUCAAGUCAUAUACUACAUAAUCUGAAUUAUGCUAAAAUGAGUUUUGUUUUCAUUUAGACUAUUGAUGUAUAUAGUGUAAUACUACGACGUCCUUAACGUCUAGAUUUUUGAAAGAAAAUAAUAACAUAUAUUUAU